UACGAAGGGGGCUAGCGUUGUUCGGAAUUACUGGGCGUAAAGCGCGCGCAGGCGGUCUUCCAAGUCAGUGGUGAAAGCCCGGAGCUCAACUCCGGAACUGCCAUUGAAACUGUAAGACUUGAGGACGAGAGAGGUGAGUGGAAUUCCCAGUGUAGAGGUGAAAUUCGUAGAUAUUGGGAAGAACACCAGUGGCGAAGGCGGCUAACUGGUCCGAUACUGACGCUGAGGUGCGAAAGCGUGGGGAGCAAACAGG
Molecule: ribosomal RNA, 253 nt
Filed under: uncultured bacterium
Lineage: Bacteria
Description: partial 16S ribosomal RNA
Rfam family: Bacterial small subunit ribosomal RNA
Source: RNAcentral